RNAcentral lists this unclassified non-coding RNA (253 nucleotides) under uncultured Bacteroidota bacterium. RNAcentral's name for it is "uncultured Bacteroidetes bacterium contains 16S-23S intergenic spacer region". It matches the Rfam family "Bacterial small subunit ribosomal RNA", at positions 524 to 776 of the family's 1533-position model. Lineage: Bacteria; Pseudomonadati; Bacteroidota. The record is from RNAcentral.
UACGGAGGGUGCAAGCGUUGUCCGGAAUCAUUGGGUGUAAAGGGUGUGUAGGCGGACCUGUAAGUCAGGGGUGAAAUCCUGCGGCUUAACCGCAGAACUGCCUUUGAUACUGCAGGUCUUGAGUCCUGGAGGGGUGGCUGGAAUUCGUGGUGUAGCGGUGAAAUGCGUAGAUAUCACGAGGAACACCAGAGGUGUAGACGGGUCACUGGACAGGUACUGACGCUGAGGCACGAAAGCGUGGGGAGCAAACAGG